AUACGGAGGGUGCAAGCGUUAAUCGGAAUUACUGGGCGUAAAGAGUACGUAGGUGGUUUGUUUAGUCAGAUGUGAAAGCCCAGGGCUUAACCUUGGAACUGCAUUUGAAACUGGCAAACUAGAGUAUGGUAGAGGGGGGUAGAAUUCCUAGUGUAGCGGUGAAAUGCGUAGAUAUUAGGAGGAAUACCAGUGGCGAAGGCGGCCCCCUGGACCAAUACUGACACUGAGGUACGAAAGCGUGGGGAGCGAACAGCAUUAGAUACCCCAGUAGUCC
This 274-nucleotide ribosomal RNA is filed under the name uncultured bacterium. Its description in RNAcentral is "partial 16S ribosomal RNA". It matches the Rfam family "Bacterial small subunit ribosomal RNA", at positions 523 to 796 of the family's 1533-position model. The record is from RNAcentral.